UAAGGAAAAUUGAUGAUCGCAGUUAAGUUAUUGACUUUUUUACUUGAAAACAAAAUUGUCAAAAUGUUAACUGAGGAAAGUCCGGGCUCUGGUUUCAAUCUGAAACUAUGUUAUAGAGUAAUUCUCUAUGUGUAACCAUUUAGCACGAGGCUAGUGCCACAGAAAACGAACCGCAAGUUUUAUCUUGUAAGGGUGCAAUGGUGUGGUAAGAGCACACCAGUUUAUUUGUAAGAAUAAAGCUUGGUAUACCCUAACACAGAGCAAACAAAAUUAAGCGAUUUUUUUGGUCGCUUAAUUCUUGGUGCUAGAAUAGUAUUGUAAAAUAUUAUCAAGAUGAAUGAUCAUCGUAAAAAACUCAGAUUUUUUAUUACAAAACCCGGCUUAUUUUCUUCCCUGCUAG
This 400-nucleotide RNase P RNA is filed under the name Pycnococcus provasolii. RNAcentral's name for it is "RNA subunit of RNase P". It matches the Rfam family "Bacterial RNase P class A". Rfam says of the family: Ribonuclease P (RNase P) is a ubiquitous endoribonuclease, found in archaea, bacteria and eukarya as well as chloroplasts and mitochondria. Its best characterised activity is the generation of mature 5'-ends of tRNAs by cleaving the 5'-leader elements of precursor-tRNAs. The record is from RNAcentral. Lineage: Eukaryota; Viridiplantae; Chlorophyta; Pseudoscourfieldiophyceae; Pseudoscourfieldiales; Pycnococcaceae.